UAUUAUUGGUUGCUCACAAUGGCCAAAGAGCGCGCCCACUUUUUCUCAGCGGCAGAGCAAGAACUCUUGAUGGAGGGCUAUGGCGAGUUCCAAAAUUUAAUAAAAACGCCAGGGAACACCUCAAAGGCUGCAAAAGCCAGGAGAGAGGGCUGGCAAAAAAUAGCAGACCAAUUAAAUGCAGCCACCACAGGACCCACUAGAACUUGGGAACAAGUAAAGGUGAAAUACAAGAAUAUUCUACAAAAUGCAACUAGGAAAAAGGCAGAGCAAAAACAAACAGGUGGUGGUCCUGCACCCCCAUGUCACACCCCGGCAGAAGAGCUGGCCCUUGGAUUA
Long non-coding RNA from Sinocyclocheilus rhinocerous, 336 nucleotides. RefSeq lists it as uncharacterized. The transcript has 3 exons. Lineage: Eukaryota; Metazoa; Chordata; Actinopteri; Cypriniformes; Cyprinidae. The record is from RefSeq and is a predicted model, not a curated record.